UACGUAGGGGGCAAGCGUUGUCCGGAAUCAUUGGGCGUAAAGCGCGUGUAGGCGGUCCGGUAAGUCCGCUGUGAAAGUCGGGGGCUCAACCCUCGGAUGCCGGUGGAUACUGUCGGGCUUGAGUACGGAAGAGGCGAGUGGAAUUCCUGGUGUAGCGGUGAAAUGCGCAGAUAUCAGGAGGAACACCAAUGGCGAAGGCAGCACUCUGGGACGUGACUGACGCUGAGACGCGAAAGCGUGGGGAGCAAACGGG
This 253-nucleotide ribosomal RNA is filed under the name uncultured bacterium. Its description in RNAcentral is "partial 16S ribosomal RNA". It matches the Rfam family "Bacterial small subunit ribosomal RNA", at positions 524 to 776 of the family's 1533-position model. The record is from RNAcentral.